Molecule: transfer RNA, 69 nt
Filed under: Isognathotermes ugandensis
Lineage: Eukaryota; Metazoa; Arthropoda; Insecta; Blattodea; Termitidae
Also listed under: 2 other names
Description: Cubitermes ugandensis tRNA-Phe
Rfam family: tRNA
About the family: Transfer RNA (tRNA) molecules are approximately 80 nucleotides in length. Their secondary structure includes four short double-helical elements and three loops (D, anti-codon, and T loops).
Source: RNAcentral
AUUUAAAUAGCUUAUAAUUUAGAGCGCAACACUGAAGAUGUUGAUGAGGUAAUUAGUUACCUUUGAAUA